Molecule: unclassified non-coding RNA, 357 nt
Filed under: fungal sp.
Lineage: Eukaryota; Fungi
Description: partial internal transcribed spacer region
Rfam family: Eukaryotic small subunit ribosomal RNA (bases 1-46)
Source: RNAcentral
AAGUCGUAACAAGGUUUCCGUAGGUGAACCUGCGGAAGGAUCAUUAUCAACGUAUCCACGUUUAUAAACCAAAUUCGUGAAUUGUUUAUCAUUGCCUUUGGGUUAUUGGCCGCUAUCAGUUGACACAUAUGGAGUUCAUUGUAUGGUUAUGGGCUCGUCCUGAUAAUUUAAGGCUGUCUCUCCAAAGUGUAGUUAAUCAUACGUUAAUUAUUUUUAUUAACCAAUUGAACCACUUUUAUUUUUUAUACUUUGUUUGAACUGAUUUGUUUCUUUACUUGGCACUUGAGUGUGCUGAGAAGGAAAAUAAAUUACGAAACAAUAAAAGAACAACUCUUAGCAACGGAUAUCUUGGUUCUC